This 253-nucleotide ribosomal RNA is filed under the name uncultured bacterium. Its description in RNAcentral is "partial 16S ribosomal RNA". It matches the Rfam family "Bacterial small subunit ribosomal RNA", at positions 524 to 776 of the family's 1533-position model. The record is from RNAcentral.
GACGAACCGAGCGAACGUUGUUCGGAAUCACUGGGCUUAAAGGGCGCGUAGGCGGGCUGCCGCGUCCGGGGUGAAAUGCCACGGCUCAACCGUGGAACGGCCUCGGAUACGGGCGGUCUCGAGGGGGGUAGGGGCAUCUGGAACUGUGGGUGGAGCGGUGAAAUGCGUUGAGAUCCACAGGAACUCCGGUGGCGAAGGCGAGGUGCUGGACCCCAUCUGACGCUGAGGCGCGAAAGCCAGGGGAGCAAACAGG